CUACUCCCCUGUUGCGUCUUGCCCUCCCACACGUCGGCCGCGGUCACCGUCCCGGCUCGAAGGAUAGGAACCGCGUGGGCCGGNGUCGACCUUAAUACAUGACAGUACCGAACGUAGUUCUGUAAUUUNUUAAGGUAAAGGCGUCGUUGCAUUCUGUAAUUUAAUUCUAGAACGAGUGGCGGAGGUGAUAACNGGUACGUACGCUACCUUAGUGGGGAUAACAUUUGGAAACAGAUGCUAAUACCGCAUAAAUCCAAGAACCGCAUGGUUCUUGGCUGAAAGAUGGCGUAAGCUAUCGCUUUUGGAUGGACCCGCGGCGUAUUAGCUAGUUGGUGAG
Molecule: ribosomal RNA, 337 nt
Filed under: uncultured Lactococcus sp.
Lineage: Bacteria; Bacillati; Bacillota; Bacilli; Lactobacillales; Streptococcaceae
Description: partial 16S ribosomal RNA
Source: RNAcentral